This 525-nucleotide ribosomal RNA is filed under the name uncultured Actinomycetes bacterium. Its description in RNAcentral is "bacterial SSU rRNA". It matches the Rfam family "Bacterial small subunit ribosomal RNA", at positions 44 to 548 of the family's 1533-position model. The record is from RNAcentral. Lineage: Bacteria; Bacillati; Actinomycetota; Actinomycetes.
GUGACUUAACACAUGCAAGUCCGAACGGAAACUGGCCUGCAUGCUUGCAUGACGGAGUAACUCGACGUAGGCGAACGGGUGAGUAACACGUGGGUGAUCUUGCCUUGCACAUUCGGGAUAAGCUUGGGAAACUGGGUCUAGUACCGGAUAGGACAGCUGUUUAGUGUCAGUUGUGGAAAGUUUUCUCGGUGCAAGAUGAGCUCGCGGCCUAUCAGCUUGUUGGUGGGGUAAUGGCCUACCAAGGCGUCGACGGGUAGCCGGCCUGAGAGGGUGUACGGACACAUUGGGACUGAGAUGCGGCCCAGGACUCCUACGGGAGGCAGACAGUGGGGAAUAUUGCACAAUGGGCCGGAAGCCUGAUGCAGCGACGCCGCGAUGGGGGAUGAAGGCCUAUCGGAGUAGUAACAACUCCAUUACGACACGGGACGAAGCGUACAGUGACGGUACCUGUAUAAAGCAAGCACGGCUAACCUACGUGACCAGCACGGCCAGCGGUAAUAACGUCACGGUGCGAGCGUCGACCGG